Epinephelus fuscoguttatus (brown-marbled grouper) is the source of this 3609-nucleotide long non-coding RNA. RefSeq lists it as uncharacterized. NCBI's taxonomy places the organism in Eukaryota, Metazoa, Chordata, Actinopteri, Perciformes, Serranidae. The record is from RefSeq and is a predicted model, not a curated record. The transcript is spliced from 4 exons.
GAGUCCGCAGCCAGGAUUUCAUCAUUCUUUUCUCUGUAACUUGCUCAUCUAACACUUAGCCCGCAUGGCAUUCUGGUGUUCCAGCCUAAGAAAGCACAGCACAGAUUUCCAUCUUCCUCAACAAUAGCGCUGAUUGUCUCAGAGAGAGAAAGAAUAAACAUGACGGAGCGAGCGUGCCUGCACUCACUGGGUGAUUUUGGAUUUGCUGGAGUGAAGAUAAUCAGCGUUCAUUCCUCCCAUCUCCUCUUCCACACAGAGAGCUAGAGGAUGGGAAAUUGGGAGGCAACAGAGCGAUUCAGGAUUCUGAUGCACGUGCUGUUUUGUCAAAACUGAUGCCAGACAUCUUAAUCAUCCCAACAGCAGCACGAGACACGAGAGUAACUCAACUGCGACAUCUGGUCUUUCUGGGAUUUCUUGGAAGUGUCAAGAGGCCUCGGAGGUUUAGCCUACACAACAGAAUGUCAGAGCUAUCAGUGGAUUCGGAGGAGAGGGAGGCAUUCAGGAAACUUGUCAGAACUACAGAAGUGUUCAACAGUGAAUAAGGAUUCCAAACAUCAAAGGAUUUAGGGAACUCUACCCCCUCCAAAAUGGGAACCAGGGUACCAAUAAUAGUCUGUACUAACUGACUCCACAUGUAAACAGCACAGAAACACCAUAGUAAAACCACUCCUGGCAGCUAUAACUGCACACCUGACCAGAAGCAAGUGGCCACAAGGGGAGAGGUGGAAGAGGAACUUUGCCUCUACUGUGCUUCAUCGGACCAUUAGCUGCCCACCUGUCCUCACACCCAGAGCUGUUUAGUGAUUUCCAGCCAAGCCAGCACCAUGGGACGGCAAUGAAGCAUCCUGACAACUACUGGUUGGAUUGACAAGACAUUUUUAUUUUUAAGACAGUUUUAUUCAGACCCCUUAUCAUUUAGUUCAGUCAGUAGGUUGACAUUUCCAGGUUUACUGUAACAUUUCUCCAUAACUAUUGAAUAAAGCUGCCCGAAAUUUGGUCCACAUACUCAUGUCUUCCAUAGGAUGAAUGGACUCAUCAUCCAGCCCCAACACUAGAUUAAAACUUCAGUUCAACUUAAAUUCUUUGGUUUUUGUACAAAGAUCUACAAAUCUAAUGACAAUCCCAUCAUCCUCAGCUGCACCCUGUGUUGGUAAUGAGCCACUGCUAGCAUGCAAAGAUGGUAAACAUUAUCUUAAUGACGAAAACUCUGUGUGUGUGUGUGUUCCACGUUUUUCUCCUCACUGACUUGGUCAAUCCAUGUGAAAUUUGGCACAGUGGUAGAGGGUCAUGGGAGGAUGCCAAUGAAGCAAUAUUACAUCAAUUGGCCAAAGGGGGGCGCUAUAGCAACUGAUUGAAAUGUCAAACUUUGAAUGGGCAUAUCUCAUGCCCCGUAUGUCGUAGAGACAUGAAACUUUGCACAGAGAUGCCUCUCCUCAUGAGGAACACAUUUGCCUCAAGAACCCUUAACUUCCGCUUAUAUAGAUUUUCCGCCAUUUUGAAUGUUUUGAAAAACACUUCAAAUGGAUCUCUUCCUAGGAAGUUUGAGCGAUCUGCAUGAAACUGGGUGAACAUAAUCUAGGGAGCAAUAUCUAAAGUUCCCUCUUGGCAAAAGUUGGAAAACUUACUAAAACUGAGCUUCUAUAAGGCAAUGAAUAUUGCGGAGGGCGUGGCUCAUCACAUAAAGGUGUAGAACAUCUCAAGGGUUUCACCCAUCACCACGCAACUUUGUAGGCAUAUGACCACACAUAAUCUGAGGGGACCCCUCCAUUAUUGACCCCACUUUAGACAAGUACCCAGCAGUCUAAAUUUAUUCUUUCAUUAUCCAUAACCACUGUUAAGGGUCGCAGGGGGGCUGGAGCCUAUCCCAGCAAACAGUGGGCGAGAGGCGGGGUUCAUCCUGGACAGAUUGCCAUAUGAUCACAGGGCUGUCAUAUAGAGACAGACAACCAUUCACGCUUACAUUCACACCUAUAGGCAAUUUGGAGUCACCAGUUAACCUAACUGGCGGAAAACUGGGAGAAAACCCACACUGAAACAAGGAGAACAUCCACACAGAAAGGCCACAGUCAGUCAGUGGGCUUGAAUCCAGAACCCCCUUGCUGUGAGGCAACAGCGCUAACUACUAUACCACUGUGCCGCCCCCAAGUGCCUAAAUGAAGUCUAUAAUUGUAGGUGUUUUUUUCUGGCAAUGACUGAAUUCAAACAUGUCACUGAAGGCUGAAAACAGCCUGCAUGGUCGGUGCUUAGUGCUUUGAAAUUUGCCUUUUGUUUGGCUGUUAGGUCAGGAGAAGCAAUUGCUCCUAGAAGUGGUUAUCUAAAUAAAAGGAAACAGCAGCUUUAGUGACAGGAUACAACCUUUAAUGUGUGUAUAGGAAAACUUAAGGUGUGUCAGCUAAUACUGCUUGUUAGUCAGAGCCUGUAAAUUGUCAUGAUGUACCAACUCUUUGGCUUUCUAGUGAGUAAACCCUCACAUGUCCAUUCCUCAUUCAACAGUCUCCUUAUUCCACAACAAUAAGUCAAUGACUUUAUUUGUUUUCUGUUUAAACAAAUGACUAAGGACAUUGUGUGACCUCCACUUCCUGUCCAUGGUGUUGAAAUACGCACCAAAUGGAUAAAUAAAAUUACUGCAGUCUUGCAUUCAGUAGUUUGCCUUUGUCCUUUACAUGUGUAACUCUUGAAUUCAAAAGUGAUGACUCAUGGCAAAGGCAUCAUGACGAUGAUCUGAUCUAAUCUAUAGACAGGUACACAUCCAAGGAGCUUGUCUGACAAGGUAGUCAUCCAGUCAUGACAAUGCUGGUCCCAGUGUGUCCUUGCACUCCCAUUAACGCUACACAAACACUUGUGAUUCAGCCAUAUUUAGUAUUGUGUAUUUAAAGCUGAAACAUCAACUGAGCACAGAGUCUUUAUCGUCCAAGUUAGGUCACAAGUCAUUUAUUUUCUGUCAAGUCAAGUUGCAAGUCAUCAAAACAAUGACUCAAGUCAACUUGAGUCCAAGUCCCAGUUCAGUUCACAUCUCUGUUAAUUCUGUGCUGAUUAACUCGACCUGUCAUCAUCUGUAUUUUCUAUUUUCCAAGUGCGGCUCAGGAGACCAGAGCGGGAAGUGGAGGGUGGUCUACCACCACAACAAGACUGCUGGGAGUUUAGAUCAGUCCCUCAGCCACAAGCAUCAAGUGUGUGUCAAGUUCCUCACUCCAGUGUAAAUUGUUGCUCUUUAUUUAGGUUUAGUUGCACAGGGAGAGAGAGAAGAAGGCUGUAGAGAGCUGAAGAGAAGUGACCAUUAUCCAGUCCUAUUUACUUCAGAGUUCAGGGCACAACCACAUUCACACAAUCAAGUAUCAGCUUCUCUCCAUCUGGGGCCCAAACAAAGGAGCCUCCGCAAUUCUUCAUCAAAAUGAGUACGGAUUCCAUUUCCCCAAGGGAAAACAACACAAUGAAGAGUCAGGAGGGUUAAUGAUACUUUUGAAUAACUCUCCAUGUGGGCCAUUUGGGGUUGAAUUUUCAGAAAGAGAGAGGGGGAAAAGAAAGAGACAGAGAGGACGAGAGAGAGGAGCAUGCUUCAUGACAACGAUCCCUUUUGAAUACAACCAGGCAUUGCUGCUUUAGCUUUUA